AUUGAACGCUGGCGGCAGGCCUAACACAUGCAAGUCGAGCGGAUGAAGGGAGCUUGCUCCUGGAUUCAGCGGCGGACGGGUGAGUAAUGCCUAGGAAUCUGCCUGGUAGUGGGGGAUAACGUCCGGAAACGGGCGCUAAUACCGCAUACGUCCUGAGGGAGAAAGUGGGGGAUCUUCGGACCUCACGCUAUCAGAUGAGCCUAGGUCGGGUUAGCUAGUUGGUGGGGUAAAGGCCUACCAAGGCGACGAUCCGUAACUGGUCUGAGAGGAUGAUCAGUCACACUGGAACUGAGACACGGUCCAGACUCCUACGGGAGGCAGCAGUGGGGAAUAUUGGACAAUGGGCGAAAGCCUGAUCCAGCCAUGCCGCGUGUGUGAAGAAGGUCUUCGGAUUGUAAAGCACUUUAAGUUGGGAGGAAGGGCAGUAAGUUAAUACCUUGCUGUUUUGACGUUACCAAAAGAAUAAGCACCGGCUAACUUCGUG
RNAcentral lists this ribosomal RNA (484 nucleotides) under uncultured bacterium. RNAcentral's name for it is "partial 16S ribosomal RNA". It matches the Rfam family "Bacterial small subunit ribosomal RNA", at positions 30 to 507 of the family's 1533-position model. The record is from RNAcentral.